This 330-nucleotide ribosomal RNA is filed under the name uncultured Streptococcus sp. RNAcentral's name for it is "bacterial SSU rRNA". It matches the Rfam family "Bacterial small subunit ribosomal RNA", at positions 1051 to 1382 of the family's 1533-position model. The record is from RNAcentral. Lineage: Bacteria; Bacillati; Bacillota; Bacilli; Lactobacillales; Streptococcaceae.
GUCGUCAGCUCGUGUCGUGAGAUGUUGGGUUAAGUCCCGCAACGAGCGCAACCCCUAUUGUUAGUUGCCAUCAUCCAGUUGGGCACUCUAGCGAGACUGCCGGUAAUAAACCGGAGGAAGGUGGGGAUGACGUCAAAUCAUCAUGCCCCUUAUGACCUGGGCUACACACGUGCUACAAUGGUUGGUACAACGAGUUGCGAGUCGGUGACGGCGAGCUAAUCUCUUAAAGCCAAUCUCAGUUCGGAUUGUAGGCUGCAACUCGCCUACAUGAAGUCGGAAUCGCUAGUAAUCGCGGAUCAGCACGCCGCGGUGAAUACGUUCCCGGGCCUU